RNAcentral lists this ribosomal RNA (254 nucleotides) under uncultured bacterium. Its description in RNAcentral is "partial 16S ribosomal RNA". It matches the Rfam family "Bacterial small subunit ribosomal RNA", at positions 524 to 776 of the family's 1533-position model. The record is from RNAcentral.
UACGUAGGGAGCGAGCGUUGUCCGAAGUUACUGGGCGUAAAGCGCGCGUAGGCGGGCUGUUAAGUGAGAGGUGAAAGGCUGGGGCUCAACCCCAUGCAGUGCCUCUCAUACUGGCGGUCUUGAAUUCGGCAGGGAGAAGUGGAAUGGCUGGUGUAGCGGUGAAAUGCGUAGAUAUCAGUCGGAACACCGGUGGCGAAGGCGGCGUUCUGGACUGCAACUGACACUGAAAAACGAAAGCCAGGGGAGCAAACGGG